CAGUCGCCACGGUAAUACGUAGGGUCCGAGCGUUGUCCGGAAUUACUGGGCGUAAAGAGCUCGUAGGUGGUUUGUCGCGUUGUUCGUGAAAACUCACAGCUUAACUGUGGGCGUGCGGGCGAUACGGGCAGACUAGAGUACUGCAGGGGAGACUGGAAUUCCUGGUGUAGCGGUGGAAUGCGCAGAUAUCAGGAGGAACACCGGUGGCGAAGGCGGGUCUCUGGGCAGUAACUGACGCUGAGGAGCGAAAGCGUGGGGAGCGAACAGGAUUAGAUACCCGCGUAGUCCCUGUCUCUUAUAC
This 301-nucleotide ribosomal RNA is filed under the name uncultured bacterium. RNAcentral describes it as "partial 16S ribosomal RNA". It matches the Rfam family "Bacterial small subunit ribosomal RNA", at positions 509 to 807 of the family's 1533-position model. The record is from RNAcentral.